This 846-nucleotide ribosomal RNA is filed under the name Wolbachia pipientis. RNAcentral describes it as "bacterial SSU rRNA". It matches the Rfam family "Bacterial small subunit ribosomal RNA", at positions 90 to 975 of the family's 1533-position model. Lineage: Bacteria; Pseudomonadati; Pseudomonadota; Alphaproteobacteria; Rickettsiales; Anaplasmataceae. The record is from RNAcentral.
ACUUAGUGAAUGCCGGGUGAGUAAUGUAUAGGAAUCUACCUAGUAGUACGGAAUAAUUGUUGGAAACGACAACUAAUACCGUAUACGCCCUACGGGGGAAAAAUUUAUUGCUAUUAGAUGAGCCUAUAUUAGAUUAGCUAGUUGGUGGGGUAAUAGCCUACCAAGGUAAUGAUCUAUAGCUGAUCUGAGAGGAUGAUCAGCCACACUGGAACUGAGAUACGGUCCAGACUCCUACGGGAGGCAGCAGUGGGGAAUAUUGGACAAUGGGCGAAAGCCUGAUCCAGCCAUGCCGCAUGAGUGAAGAAGGCCUUUGGGUUGUAAAGCUCUUUUAGUGAGGAAGAUAAUGACGGUACUCACAGAAGAAGUCCUGGCUAACUCCGUGCCAGCAGCCGCGGUAAUACGGAGAGGGCUAGCGUUAUUCGGAAUUAUUGGGCGUAAAGGGCGCGUAGGCUGGUUAAUAAGUUAAAAGUGAAAUCCCGAGGCUUAACCUUGGAAUUGCUUUUAAAACUAUUAAUCUAGAGAUUGAAAGAGGAUAGGGGAAUUCCUGAUGUAGAGGUAAAAUUCGUAAAUAUUAGGAGGAACACCAGUGGCGAAGGCGUCUAUCUGGUUCAAAUCUGACGCUGAAGCGCGAAGGCGUGGGGAGCAAACAGGAUUAGAUACCCUGGUAGUCCACGCUGUAAACGAUGAAUGUUAAAUAUGGGGAGUUUACUUUCUGUAUUACAGCUAACGCGUUAAACAUUCCGCCUGGGGACUACGGUCGCAAGAUUAAAACUCAAAGGAAUUGACGGGGACCCGCACAAGCGGUGGAGCAUGUGGUUAAUUCGAUGCAACGCGAAAAAAAGUCAC